UAGUCAUAUGCUUGUCUCAAAGAUUAAGCCAUGCAUGUCUAAGUAUAAGCGACUUGUACUGUGAAACUGCGAAUGGCUCAUUAAAUCAGUUAUGGUUUCUUUGAUGGUACCUUGCUACUUGGAUACCCGUAGUAAUUCUAGAGCUAAUACAUGCAGGAGUGCCCGACUUCGGAAGGGCUGUAUUUAUUAGAUAAGAAACCUUCUCGGGUUCGCCCGGUUGUGUGCUGAGUCAUAAUAACUGCUCGAAUCGCACGGCUCUACGCCGGCGAUGGUUCAUUCAAAUUUCUGCCCUAUCAGCUUUCGAUGGUAGGAUAGAGGCCUACCAUGGCGUUAACGGGUAACGGAGAAUUAGGGUUCGAUUCCGGAGAGGGAGCCUGAGAAAUGGCUACCACAUCCAAGGAAGGCAGCAGGCGCGUAAAUUGCCCGAAUCCUGACACAGGGAGGUAGUGACAAGGAAUAACAAUACAGGGCUACUUCUAGUCUUGUAAUUGGAAUGAGUACAACUUACAUCUCUUCACGAGGAUCAACU
This 529-nucleotide ribosomal RNA is filed under the name uncultured eukaryote. RNAcentral's name for it is "SSU rRNA". It matches the Rfam family "Eukaryotic small subunit ribosomal RNA", at positions 21 to 549 of the family's 1831-position model. The record is from RNAcentral.